This 439-nucleotide ribosomal RNA is filed under the name uncultured bacterium. Its description in RNAcentral is "partial 16S ribosomal RNA". It matches the Rfam family "Bacterial small subunit ribosomal RNA", at positions 339 to 795 of the family's 1533-position model. The record is from RNAcentral.
CUACGGGACGCUCCAGUGAGGAAUAUUGCACAAUGGGGGGAACCCUGAUGCAGCAACGCCGCGUGGAGGAUGACGCAUUUCGGUGUGUAAACUCCUUUUAUAUGUCAAGAAAAUGACGGUAGCAUAUGAAUAAGCACCGGCUAACUCCGUGCCAGCAGCCGCGGUAAUACGGAGGGUGCAAGCGUUACUCGGAAUCACUGGGCGUAAAGUACGCGUAGGCGGGUUGGAAAGUCAGGUGUGAAAUCCUACAGCUUAACUGUAGAACUGCACUUGAAACUUCUAAUCUAGAGUAUGGGAGGGGGAGAUGGAAUUAGUGGUGUAGGGGUAAUAUCCGUAGAUAUCACUAGGAAUACCUAAAGCGAAGGCGAUCUCCUGGAACAUUACUGACGCUAAGGCGUGAAAGCGUGGGGAGCAAACAGGAUUAGAUACCCGGGUAGUC